CGAGGGGUGCAAGCGUUGCUCGGAAUUAGUUGGGCGUAAAGGGUAGGUAGGUGGUCUUAUUUGUCUGGGGUGAAAGCCUUGAGCUUAACUCAAGAAGUGCCCCAGAACGGUAAGACUCGAGUCCUGGAGAGGGUCGUGGAAUUCCCGGUGUAGCGGUGAAAUGCGUAGAGAUCGGGAGGAACACCAGAGGCGAAAGCGGCGACCUGGACAGGCACUGACACUCAACUACGAAAGCGUGGGGAGCAAACAGGAUUAGAUACCCUGGUAGUCCACGCUGUAAACGAUGGGUACUAGGUUUGGUGGGUCUUGACCCCCGCCGAACCGGCGCUAACGCACUAAGUACCCCGCCUGGGAAGUACGGUCGCAAGACUA
Molecule: ribosomal RNA, 372 nt
Filed under: uncultured organism
Description: bacterial SSU rRNA
Rfam family: Bacterial small subunit ribosomal RNA
Source: RNAcentral